CGCGGAAUGAAAGUGAACGGAGGUGGUCACCCUUAAGGGCGCACCAUCGACCGAUCCGGAAGUUUACGGAUGGAUUUGAGUAAGAGCAUAACUAUUGGGACCCGAAAGAUGGUGAACUAUGCCUGAAUAGGGUGAAGCCAGGGGAAACCCUGGUGGAGGCUCGCAGCGGUUCUGACGUGCAAAUCGAUCGUCAAAUUUGGGUAUAGGGGCGAAAGACUAAUCGAACCAUUACGCUAGUAGCUGGUUCCUGUCGAAGUUUCCCUCAGGAUAGCAGUAACGUUUUCAGUUUUAUGAGGUAAAGCGAAUGAUUAGAGGCCUUAGGGAUGAAACAUCCUUAACCUAUUCUCAAACUUUAAAUAUGUAAGAAGUCCUUGUUACUUAGUUGAACGUGGACAUUUGAAUGUACCGUUACUAGUGGGCCAUUUUUGGUAAGCAGAACUGGCGAUGCGGGAUGAACCGAACGCGAGGUUAAGGUGCCGGAAUGCACGCUCAUCAGACACCACAAAAGGUGUUAAUUCAUCCAGACAGCAGGACGGUGGCCAUGGAAGUCGGAAUCCGCUAAGGAGUGUGUAACAACUCACCUGCCGAAUGAAUUAGCCCUGAAAAUGGAUGGCGCUCAAGCGUGCUACCCAUACCUCGCCGCCAGGGUAGAAACGAUGCCCUGGCGA
RNAcentral lists this ribosomal RNA (668 nucleotides) under Physconia distorta. RNAcentral's name for it is "eukaryotic LSU rRNA". It matches the Rfam family "Eukaryotic large subunit ribosomal RNA", at positions 713 to 1380 of the family's 3401-position model. Lineage: Eukaryota; Fungi; Ascomycota; Lecanoromycetes; Caliciales; Physciaceae. The record is from RNAcentral.